RNAcentral lists this long non-coding RNA (297 nucleotides) under Arabidopsis thaliana (thale cress). Its description in RNAcentral is "long non-coding RNA (ATHA_LNC000391)". Lineage: Eukaryota; Viridiplantae; Streptophyta; Magnoliopsida; Brassicales; Brassicaceae. The record is from RNAcentral.
UUACUACUAUGGGGGACUUUAAAGCUUUAAGUGGAUCUGAUGUAGCUUUUCAUGAAAAUCAAAUUCUGCAAGCUAGAGGCAAUGCGAGUAUUCAAGUGCCUGCAUCUGUUGGUGCUAACCUUCUGGGACCUCUACAGCCAUCAACCCAGUCUCAAGCUAUGCAUAUGCAACAAGUUCAGACGCAGGUUCAAGUACCUGCAUCUGUUGGUGCUAACCUUCUGGGACUUCUUCUGACAUCAACCCAGUCUCAAGCUAUGCAUAUGCAACAAGUUCAGACGCAGGCAGUGAAUCCUCAGC